UUUUGUUUUUUAAUUUAAAAUUUUUUAUUAUUGGAUAUUUUCUUUAAAUACAUUUCAAAUGCUAUCCUGAAACUCCCCUAUACCCUCCCCAUGCCCUGCUCCCCUACCCACCCACUCCCAUUUCUUGGCCCUGGCAUUCCCCGGUACUGGGGCAGAUAAAGGGGCCUCUCUUCCUAGUGACUGCCAACUAGUCCAUCUUCUGCUACAUAUGCAGCUAGAGACACAAGCUCCGGGGGUAUUGGUUAGUUCAUAUUGUUGUUCCACCUAGGGUUGCAGACUCUUUCACCUCCUUGGUCUUUACUUACCACACAUUGCUUACUCUUAUCUGGUUUCUAUUCAGCAGGGAGCUUUUAGUGUCUGAAGAAGUGUUAACAUAUUAUGAAUAUUUAACAUUUGUAUUAUUUCACUCCCAUUUGAACUACUUUGUGUUGAGAAAUAUAAGAAAGUUUAAUAAAGGGUUUGCAACAUUUUCCACAUGUGGCAUUUCAGUUUCGUAUGAAUUAUGAGGUGUUUCACAAAUUCUUAGUAAGUA
RNAcentral lists this long non-coding RNA (532 nucleotides) under Mus musculus (house mouse). RNAcentral describes it as "predicted gene, 48095". The record is from RNAcentral. Lineage: Eukaryota; Metazoa; Chordata; Mammalia; Rodentia; Muridae.